RNAcentral lists this long non-coding RNA (2257 nucleotides) under Callithrix jacchus (white-tufted-ear marmoset). RNAcentral's name for it is "lncRNA (ENSCJAG00000087181.1)". The record is from RNAcentral. Lineage: Eukaryota; Metazoa; Chordata; Mammalia; Primates; Cebidae.
GGGAGGUGGGGAGGGAUAGCCUGGGGAGAAAUUCCAAAUGUGGGUGAAGGGGAGAAGAAAAGCAAAGCACACUGCCAUGUGUGUACCUACGCACCCACUUCAGAUUCUCAAUCAAUGUGCUGGAAUUACAGGAAUAAGUCACCAUGCCCAGCCCAACGUACUUACUUUAAAUAUUUACAAUUGCAUAGCAGCUCAGUCCUGUAUCUUCUACAAACUAUGUCUUAAUUAAUAAAUGAAGAAAGUAUGUAUGCAUGAUUUAUAAAUUAAUUGAAGAUAUUAAACUUGACAUUUCUAAUAAGAUAUGUUUAUAUUAAUAACCAGUUUAAAUGUAAUGAAUGUCAACACUACUAAUAAUUACAUAUAAAAAAAGAAGCAUUGUUCAUCUGCUAAAAAAAACUCUUCCAAUGAAAAAUUACAGCUAAAGGAAACAGUUGAGGAAUUUAAUCCUAGAUUAAAAUGACAGAAUGUUGCUUUAUAUUAGGAGGAUCACAUUUUCAGCUGAAUAGAUGUAAUCUUCAAUUUGAGCAUCACUAUAUUUAGCCAGCUUUUUCCAACACUCAUCCAUCUCAAUUAAGCAAAUUAUAUAUGUAAUUAUCUUAUUGAAUUAGCCUUGAUCAUGUGCAUUAUAAUCUUCAAAAUGUCAAAGUACUAAAAAUUAAUAGUGUCUAUAUUUUAAGACUCAUUAAAGUAUUUUAAGCUCCCAGAAUUAUUAGCUAAUAAAAGGUUCCAGGCCAUAUAAGCACUAAUCCAAAUGUGUGAAGGAUCUGGACCUUUAUUUCUGAACAGAAAUUGUACUGAAUUUAUAAAGCCAAUUGUAGAUAAUUAGUGAGUAUUAUUUGGCCUGGUUCUGGUAAGAGCUGAGAAAAGAAUUUAUUUAUGUAUGUAUUUAUUUAUUUAGGACAACAUGCUUCUUUGGUUUAGAAACAGUCAAACCGGAACCAGAGGCUAUUAUACUUAGCAGACUAAGGCAAGAGCAGAAAAUCAAAUACCACAUAUUCUUACUUAUAAGUGGAACCUAAAUUAUAAGAAGUUAUGAACAUGAAGAAGAAAACAAUAGACAUUAGGGUCUAUUGACAUGGAAGAGUAGAAGCAAGAUGAGCAGAAAAAACAACUGUUCUGUACUAGGCUCAAUAUCCAGGUAUUGAAAUAAUAUGUACAGCAAACCUGUUUGACACGUGUUUACCUGUCGAAUGUGUCACAUGUACCCCAAACCUAAAAGUUUAAAAAAGAAUAAUUAAGAAGAUAAAAAGAGCGAGAAAGAAAAAAGCUAAUUAGUAAUUAUGUUAUUAAAGAAGCUAGUAAGUAGUAUAGCAAUAACUGACUGCUUACCAUAAUAUAGUUUGCAUUUCAGUAUCUAUAUUUUACUGUUUUAUGUUAAUAUUUACCUUUUCCUCUUUAAUAUCUUCCAACAUAGGAAUGUCACAUAAAUCUUAAGCGUAUUUUUUUAUAAACACACCAGAUAGGAUAUUUUACUUAGCUUUAAGUAAUUGAAAGUAAUUUGUGGUACUAAUUGUGGACAAAACUGAGAAGGCAGGCCGUGUGAGAGACAAUUUAUCUUUAAUUUAUUGGCUUUCUGCCAGAAUUAUAUAGGUAAAAUACUUUCUAAACUGUAGAUAACACUGGCUUCAAAAGUGUACAGAACAAAAUCAAAUGAACAAAAAUAUAUACAACUUCAAACGAUGAGUCAACACUUAGCUUAGAAUGGCAUUGCUGACUUUGGAGUUUUAAUCAUGGGAUACAAACAUUUUCCAACAAAACAGAAUACAUUACAAUUUAAUAUGGAAAAUGAUUUUUUAAAUACUUCUUUAUCCCUCUCAUUCAGUGCAUAAUAAGAAAAAUGUUGGCCAGGUGUGUUAGCUCAUGCCUGUAAUUCCAACACUUUGAGAGGCCAAGGUGGGUGGAUUGCCUGAGGUUAGGAGUUUGAGACCAGUCUGGCCAACAUGCUGAAACCCUGUCUCUACUAAAAUAAUACAAAAAAAUUAGCCAGUAGUGGUGGUGUGCACCUGUAAUCCCAGCUACUUGGGAGGAUGAGGCAGGGGAAUUGCUUGAAUCAGGGAGGUAGAGGUUGCAUGGAGUGAAGAUCUUGCUCCCCUCCAGCCUGGGUGACAGAGCAAGACUCCAACUCAAAAACAAAAACAAAAAGAAACAAAAAACACUUGAGAACUCUGACUAAUAGAUCAGGCCUGUUUGUCAGCCCUUGUCUUUAGGACUGCCCUCCUUCAGACCAACCCCAGUGCCACCAGGCUCCAGACUGGCC